GCCUGAGUGGCUCAGUGGUUGAGCAUCUGCCUUCGGCUCAGGGCGUGAUCCUGGGGUCCUGGGAUCAAGUCCCACUGCAGGCU
This 83-nucleotide transfer RNA is filed under the name Canis lupus familiaris (dog). It matches the Rfam family "tRNA". Rfam says of the family: Transfer RNA (tRNA) molecules are approximately 80 nucleotides in length. Their secondary structure includes four short double-helical elements and three loops (D, anti-codon, and T loops). Further hydrogen bonds mediate the characteristic L-shaped molecular structure. tRNAs have two regions of fundamental functional importance: the anti-codon, which is responsible for specific mRNA codon recognition, and the 3' end, to which the tRNAs corresponding amino acid is attached (by aminoacyl-tRNA synthetases). tRNAs cope with the degeneracy of the genetic code in two manners: having more than one tRNA (with a specific anti-codon) for a particular amino acid; and 'wobble' base-pairing, i.e. permitting non-standard base-pairing at the 3rd anti-codon position. The record is from Rfam by way of RNAcentral. Lineage: Eukaryota; Metazoa; Chordata; Mammalia; Carnivora; Canidae. RNAcentral also lists the same sequence under 1 other name.